This 497-nucleotide ribosomal RNA is filed under the name uncultured bacterium. Its description in RNAcentral is "partial 16S ribosomal RNA". It matches the Rfam family "Bacterial small subunit ribosomal RNA", at positions 28 to 507 of the family's 1533-position model. The record is from RNAcentral.
GAUGAACGCUGGCGGCGUGCCUAAUACAUGCAAGUCGAGCGAACAGACGAGGAGCUUGCUCCUCUGACGUUAGCGGCGGACGGGUGAGUAACACGUGGGUAACCGACCUAUAAGACUGGGGUAACGUCGGGAAACCGGAGCUAAUACCGGAUAAUAUAUUGAACCGCAUGGUUCAAUAGUGAAAGACGGUUUUGCUGUCACGUAUAGAUGGAUCCGCGCCGCAUUAGCUAGUUGGUAAGGUAACGGCGUACCAAGGCAACGAUGCGUAGCCGACCUGAGAGGGUGAUCGGCCACACUGGAACUGAGACACGGUCCAGACUCCUACGGGAGGCAGCAGUAGGGAAUCUUCCGCAAUGGGCGAAAGCCUGACGGAGCCACGCCGCGUGAGUGAUGAAGGUCUUCGGAUCGUAAAACUCUGUUAUUAGGGAAGAACAAAUGUGUAAGUAACUAUGCACGUCUUGACGGUACCUAAUCAGAAAGCCACGCCUAACUACGUG